RNAcentral lists this non-coding RNA (45 nucleotides) under Trichobilharzia regenti. The record is from RNAcentral. Lineage: Eukaryota; Metazoa; Platyhelminthes; Trematoda; Strigeidida; Schistosomatidae.
AUCCAGGUGACGAGUCCGAAAUAGGACGAAAUGCACAUCCUGAAU